This 265-nucleotide unclassified non-coding RNA is filed under the name uncultured fungus. RNAcentral describes it as "sequence contains ITS1". The record is from RNAcentral. Lineage: Eukaryota; Fungi.
UACUGACAUUUUAUAGGUCGCAAAGAACCCACAAAAAAAGCAUUCGGAGACAUACAAAGGGUAUAAUGAAGACAUAGACCAUGAAAAUGCAAGGGAAGCUGAAUCGCAACCCUCCAUCCGAGAUUUUCACUCGAGAGGUAUUCAUAGUCUAGCUAAAGGUGCACAAGAGAAUAUGAAUAUGAACGAGCGUGCACAUACUCCUAAGAGCCAGCGACAACCCGAGUCAACUUCAAUAAUGAUCCUUCCGCAGGUUCACCUACGGAAA